GUAGGUGGCAAGCGUUGUCCGGAAUUAUUGGGCGUAAAGCGCGCGCAGGCGGUUCUUUAAGUCUGAUGUGAAAGCCCACGGCUCAACCGUGGAGGGUCAUUGGAAACUGGAGAACCUGAGUACAGAAGAGGAAAGCGGAAUUCCACGUGUAGCGGUGAAAUGCGUAGAGAUGUGGAGGAACACCAGUGGCGAAGGCGGCUUUCUGGUCUGUAACUGACGCUGAGGCGCGAAAGCGUGGGGAGCAAACAGGGAUUAGAUACCCUGGUAGUCCACGCCGUAAACGAUGAGUGCUAAGUGUUAGGGGGUUUCCGCCCCCUUAGUGCUGCAGCUAACGCAUUAAGCACUCCGCCUGGGGAGUACGGCCGCAAGGCUG
This 373-nucleotide ribosomal RNA is filed under the name uncultured organism. RNAcentral describes it as "partial 16S ribosomal RNA". It matches the Rfam family "Bacterial small subunit ribosomal RNA", at positions 527 to 896 of the family's 1533-position model. The record is from RNAcentral.